GGGGGCGUUUGGUUUUGACAGCGUAGAUCUUUGAGAGUGUAAGCAUGUACUGCGUUGCGUAAUUAGCAGUUAAAUCUGAAUACGAAACCUAUAAAUGGCAAUACUCAGUAUGCCAUGGCUGCCUAAUCAGUGAUUAAGUAGUCAUUAGGGCCGCCGGGCCGGUUGUUCUGUUACCAUGCCCCGCCGCCGACUUAAAAACAAAACAGGAUGCUGCAAUCAAAGGCUGUGCUGAUUGCUUAAGACCAUACAGCUAAGGAAGUAAUCGGUUGUCUGUUUCCAGUUCCUUCCCGACAUAAUAAAAUAGAAUAAACAUGUAGAAAGCUUUCGACGAAUAUGUUUGGACACCGGUUCGACUCCGGUCGCCUCCACAC
RNAcentral lists this transfer-messenger RNA (371 nucleotides) under Chitinophagaceae. Its description in RNAcentral is "JJ008 sp016719015 Standard tmRNA". It matches the Rfam family "transfer-messenger RNA". From Rfam's summary of the family: Bacterial tmRNA, also known as 10Sa RNA or SsrA, is named for its dual tRNA and mRNA-like properties. Its role is to liberate the mRNA from a stalled ribosome. Lineage: Bacteria; Pseudomonadati; Bacteroidota; Chitinophagia; Chitinophagales. RNAcentral also lists the same sequence under 1 other name. The record is from RNAcentral.